Molecule: long non-coding RNA, 513 nt
Organism: Scleropages formosus (Asian bonytongue)
Lineage: Eukaryota; Metazoa; Chordata; Actinopteri; Osteoglossiformes; Osteoglossidae
Exons: 3
Source: RefSeq, a predicted model, not a curated record
AGGCUAAUAUACUUGGCUGUGUACACGUUUUCGUGCCUCGCACGUUUUGGACUUUAAUGUUGUUUAUUUCAUCGUGAAGACAGCUGUGUGAAGUAUAAGUCACCCAUAGUUGCCUACAAGAUUAUAUUAAACGAAGAGCUUCCAUUUUUCCGUGUCCGUCUGGGUUUAUACACCACACGAGGAUCGGGGCUAACUCAUUAGCCAGAUCGUUACAAAUCAAAUGGCGCCCGAACUGUGAAUGAACACCCCCAGAAGGAAAGGUUUGGACAAUGGACAGUAUUUGGAAUAUGUUUUUGGUGGACGACGAAGCAGGCAAACUAUUUGGAAUUCGACUUUUUCUUUGCCUCGCACACGUUGACUAGCGGACUGCUGAGGCAGCUAAGUUUACGACAUUUCAUUCACUCAUGCACGGUGAUGGUGUUCCACUCGGGCUGUUGGGUGAUGAUUCGGUCACAAUUCAGCGUCUUGCUGCUCAGGGUCACGGGGAACCGGAGCCUAACCCAGCAACACAGG